AUCUUUUGAGUAUGCAACCGUACACUUGGCCUUCCAAGCAAGAAGAUUAAGAAAACUUAAAAAAGAUA
RNAcentral lists this transfer RNA (68 nucleotides) under Oxymeris dimidiata (dimidiate auger shell). RNAcentral describes it as "tRNA-Gly". The record is from RNAcentral. Lineage: Eukaryota; Metazoa; Mollusca; Gastropoda; Neogastropoda; Terebridae.